AAGAAGAUUGCUGAGUUUAACUCUAAUCUGACUUUGUAACAAAUCAUGGGAGGUAUGGCAUAUGGUUUUUUAUCUAUAUAUAUAUAUACAAAUACAGCACUGAAAUGCCACUUUCAUUAAUAUAUUAAAUUAAGCCACUAACCCAAGCUAGCUUGGAUAUGAUGGAAACCUCUCGUAGAGUAAAAGGGUAAAAGCUCAUUUGAUCUUGAUUUCCAGUAGAAAUAUAAACUACGAAAACAUGACAUAUUGAUCCUUUUCAAUUUCUUAGGAAGGGGUGUCAGAAAAGUUGUUACAGAAAUGAAUAAAACGAGCCUGUCACAUAGCGAUAUUUCGGUGUCCACUGUCCCUAUCAAAAAAUAAAAUUACAAACAAAAUUCACCAAAUGUUGGAUUAUCCAUCCACCACUAAGGAGGAAUAUGGGCUAUUUUAUAUCAUACUGAAAUAGGUUAGUUUU
Brugia malayi is the source of this 454-nucleotide non-coding RNA. NCBI's taxonomy places the organism in Eukaryota, Metazoa, Nematoda, Chromadorea, Rhabditida, Onchocercidae. The record is from Rfam.